UAUAAGGAGCUCUUGGAAGGA
RNAcentral lists this non-coding RNA (21 nucleotides) under Rattus norvegicus (Norway rat). The record is from RNAcentral. Lineage: Eukaryota; Metazoa; Chordata; Mammalia; Rodentia; Muridae.